GAUGAACGCUGGCGGCGUGCCUAAUACAUGCAAGUCGAGCGAACGGACGAGAAGCUUGCUUCUCUGAUGUUAGCGGCGGACGGGUGAGUAACACGUGGAUAACCUACCUAUAAGACUGGGAUAACUUCGGGAAACCGGAGCUAAUACCGGAUGAUAUUUUGAACCGCAUGGUUCAAAAGUGAAAGACGGUCUUGCUGUCACUUAUAGAUGGAUCCGCGCUGCAUUAGCUAGUUGGUAAGGUAACGGCUUACCAAGGCAACGAUGCAUAGCCGACCUGAGAGGGGGGCCGCCCACAGGAGAACGUAGACACGGCCCAGCUCCCUGGGGGAGGAGCCAGAGGGAUGUCUUCCGCAAGGGGCAAAAGCGUGACGGAGCAAGGCCGGGUGAGGAAUGAGGUUCUUGGGAUCGUAAAACUUUUUUAUGGGGGAAAAACAUAUGUGAACGUACUUGUGCACUUCUUGACGGUACUUAAUAAAAAGGCCCCGGCAAACUACGUC
Molecule: ribosomal RNA, 497 nt
Filed under: uncultured bacterium
Lineage: Bacteria
Description: partial 16S ribosomal RNA
Rfam family: Bacterial small subunit ribosomal RNA
Source: RNAcentral